Molecule: ribosomal RNA, 760 nt
Filed under: Phytophthora sp. Asparagus 287
Lineage: Eukaryota; Oomycota; Peronosporomycetes; Peronosporales; Peronosporaceae
Description: eukaryotic LSU rRNA
Rfam family: Eukaryotic large subunit ribosomal RNA
Source: RNAcentral
UUAAGCAUAUCAAUAAGCGGAGGAAAAGAAACUAACAAGGAUUCCCCUAGUAACGGCGAGUGAAGCGGGAAGAGCUCAAGCUUAAAAUCUCCGUGCAAGUUUUGCGCGGCGAAUUGUAGUCUAUAGAGGCGUGGUCAGCGUGGGCGCUCGGGGCAAGUUCCUUGGAAGAGGACAGCAUGGAGGGUGAUACUCCCGUUCAUCCCUGAGUUGCUCGUGCGUACGACCCGUGUUCUUUGAGUCGCGUUGUUUGGGAAUGCAGCGCAAAGUAGGUGGUAAAUUCCAUCUAAAGCUAAAUAUUGGUGCGAGACCGAUAGCGAACAAGUACCGUGAGGGAAAGAUGAAAAGAACUUUGAAAAGAGAGUUAAAGAGUACCUGAAACUGCUGAAAGGGAACCGAAUCGUUUCCAGUGUCUAUAAUCCGUGGCAUAUUUCAUUGGCGAGUGUGUGCGUGCGUGUGCUGUGGCAGCGGCUUUUUUGGCUGCGCUCGGCGUGUGUGCUGUGUGUGCUUGCUGGUGCCCUGUGCUGCGGUGGGACGUCAAGGUCAGUUCGUAUGCUGCGGGAAAUGGCUGCCGAGGAGGUAGGGCUUACGCUCCGCGUUUGUCUAUUAUAUCUUGGUGGACGAGUCGUCGCGGUUGGGACUGAGGUGCCUACAACGUGCUUUUGAGUGGUCGUGUGUCUCCGUGUGCGCCGUGUGCGGAUAGCUUGCUAUGCGUGUGUGGUUGUGUGUGGAUUGAUGCGUGUCUUAACUUGUUGCCGUUCGG